UGUAAUGUCGGUGUAUAUGUGCGGGCGAGAAGAUAGCGGCGUGGGGGGAAGCGUGUGAGCAGCCGGAGGAGCGCCGAGUCCCAUUCAAACGCGCCGCCAUGGCCUCCACAGUCCGCAGUAUAUUUUUGGAGAUUUUAGCCCUGAUGAGUUCAAUCAGCUCUUUGUGACGCCUCGAUCUUCAGUUGAGCUUCCUCCAUUUAGUGGAACAGUUCUGUGUGGCACAGAUCAACUACCUGAUGGACAAGAAUAUCAGAGAAUUGAGUUUGGUGUCAGUGAAGUCAUUGAACCCAGUGACACUUUGCCGAGAACCCCCAGCUACAGUAUUUCAAGCACAUUGAACCCUCAGGCCCCUGAAUUUAUUCUCGGUUGUACAACUUCCAAAACGACCCCUGAUGGUGUCACUAAAGAAGCAAGCUACGGCUCCAUUGACUCAGUACCCAGGCUCUGCCCUCGCUUUGGAUGGAGGUUCUAAUGUGGAGGUGGAAGUUUUGGAAAAUGAUGGUGUCUCAGGUGGUCUUGGACAAAGGGAACGUAAAAAGAAGAAAAAGCGGCCACCUGGAUACUACAGCUAUUUGAAAGAUGGUGGUGAUGAUGAUAUUUCCACAGAGGCCCUGGUCAAUGGCCAUGCCAGUUCAGCAGUCCCGAAGACUGUCAGCACGGAGGAUGCAGAAUUCAUGGGGGACAUGCCCCCAUCAGUGACGCCCAGGACUUGUAACAGCCCCCAGAACUCCACGGACUCUGUCAGUGACACUGCCUGACAGUCCUUUCCCCGGAGCACUUGGCAGUGACGCCAGGACUGCAGGGCAGUUGGAGGGGGGCCCUGGGGCUGAUUUUGGUCAGUCCUCCUUCCCUGCAGAGGCUGGCAGAGACACCCUGUCAAGGACAGCUGGGGCUCAGCCCUGCGUUGGUACCGAUACUACUGAAAACCUUGGAGUUGCUAAUGGACAAAUACUUGAAUCUUCGGGCGAGGGCACAGCUGCCAACGGGGUGGAGCUACAUACCACGGAAAGCGUAGACAUGGACCGCAUCAAACCUGAGAGUGCGUCGCCUCCCGCUGACGGCACGGGCUCUGCAUCAGGCUCCCUUCCUGUCAGCCAGCCCAGGUCCUGGGCCCGUCUCUUUCAUGAUUCUAAGCCCUCUUCCUCCUCGCCGCUGGCCUAUGUGGAAACUAUGUAUUCCCCUCCCGCCAUAUUUCCCCUGGUUUCUGAAAAGCAGGUUGAAGUGAAAGGGCUUGCUCCAGUUUCAGAGGAUCCUGUAGCCAUAAGGAUUGCAGUGUUACUGGAGAAUGUAACCCUGAUCCAUAAAGCAGCGUCACUGCAACCCCGCGGGCUGAUCAGUAAAGGAAACUGGUUCUACAUUGGCGCUACACUGCAGGCACUGCUGGCUUGCCCUCCCAUGUAUCACCUGAUCAAGUUCAUUCCUCUGUGUUCCAAAGCGCAAAGGUCUUGUACGUCGACCCCCGUGAUAGACAGCUUUGUCCGGCUAAUGAAUGAGUUUACUAAUACGCCGGUACCUCCGAAACCCCGACAAGCUCUUGGAGAUAAAAUGGCCAGGGAUAUUCGCCCUGGAGCUGCCUUUGAGCCCACGUAUAUUUACAGACUCCUGACGGUUCACAAGUCAAGCCUGUCUGAAAAGGGUCGACAAGAAGAUGCUGAGGAAUAUUUAGGCUUCAUUCUAAAUGGACUCCACGAGGAAAUGGUGAACCUGAAGAAGCGUCUCUCACCAAAUAAUGAAAAACUUACGAUUUCCAAUGGCCCCAAAAACCACUCGGUCCGUGAAGAAGAGCAGGAAGAACACGGGGAAGGAAGUGAGGACGAAUGGAAGCAAGUGGGCCCCCGAACAAGACGUCCGUCACCCGCCAGGCGGAUUUUGUUCAGACCCCAAUCACCGGCACUUUUGGUGGACACAUCAGGUCUGUCGUUUACCAGCAGAGUUCAAAAGAAUCGGCCACUUUGCAGCCAUUUUUCACGUUGCAGCUGGUUAUCCAGUCUGACAAGAUACGCACAGUCCGGGAUGCACUGGAGAGCUUGGUGGCAAGAGAAUCUGUCCAAGGUUAUACCACAAAAAACCAACAAGAGGCUGAGAUAAGUCGAAGAGUGACUCUGGAAAAGCUCCCUCCUGUUCUCGUGCUACACCUGAAACGGUUUGUUUACGAGAAGACUGGUGGAUGACAGAAGCUCAUCAAAAAUAUUGAAAAUCCUGUGGACUUGGAGAUUAGUAAAGAACUACUUUCUGCAGGGGUUAAAAUAAGAAUUUUAAAUGCCACGGAACCUAUCGGCUCUUUGCAGUAGUGGUCUACCAUCAUGGCAGCAGCGCGACAGGCGGGCAUUACACUUCAGACGUCUUCCAGAUCGGUCUGAAUGGCUGGCUGCGCAUGGAUGACCAGACAGUCAAGGUGAUCAACCAGUACCAGGUGGUGAGACCCACUGCUGAACGCACACCCUACCUCCUGUAUUACCGCCCAGUGGACCUGCUGUAGACCCCCUGUGCGCCGUGUGUGCCCCAUGCCUGCUUCCUAGGACACCAACUCACACUAA
Non-coding RNA from Callithrix jacchus (white-tufted-ear marmoset), 2537 nucleotides. The record is from RefSeq and is a predicted model, not a curated record. Lineage: Eukaryota; Metazoa; Chordata; Mammalia; Primates; Cebidae.